UACGGAGGGAGCUAGCGUUGUUCGGAAUUACUGGGCGUAAAGCGCGCGUAGGCGGCUUUGUAAGUUAGAGGUGAAAGCCUGGAGCUCAACUUCAGAAUUGCCUUUAAGACUGCAUCGCUUGAAUCCGGGAGAGGUGAGUGGAAUUCCGAGUGUAGAGGUGAAAUUCGUAGAUAUUCGGAAGAACACCAGUGGCGAAGGCGGCCCACUGGACCGGCAUUGACGCUGAGGUGCGAAAGCGUGGGGAGCAAACAGG
RNAcentral lists this ribosomal RNA (253 nucleotides) under uncultured bacterium. RNAcentral's name for it is "partial 16S ribosomal RNA". It matches the Rfam family "Bacterial small subunit ribosomal RNA", at positions 524 to 776 of the family's 1533-position model. The record is from RNAcentral.